RNAcentral lists this microRNA precursor (125 nucleotides) under Asparagus officinalis (garden asparagus). RNAcentral describes it as "miR160b stem-loop (aof-MIR160b)". Its record names the gene aof-MIR160b. The stretch from base 8 to 100 matches the Rfam family "mir-160 microRNA precursor family". From Rfam's summary of the family: The hairpin precursors (represented here) are predicted based on base pairing and cross-species conservation -- their extents are not known. In this case the mature sequence is excised from the 5' arm of the hairpin. Lineage: Eukaryota; Viridiplantae; Streptophyta; Magnoliopsida; Asparagales; Asparagaceae. The record is from miRBase by way of RNAcentral.
GGGAUCGAUGUGCCUGGUUCCCUGUAUGCCACCCAGGUACCCCCAAUCUCAUGCUGCCUAGGUUGGGUAUUUUGGGUGGCGUGCAUGGAAUCAAGCAUGUCUUAAUUAAUUUGCCUUUGAUCUCC